This 299-nucleotide ribosomal RNA is filed under the name uncultured bacterium. RNAcentral's name for it is "partial 16S ribosomal RNA". It matches the Rfam family "Bacterial small subunit ribosomal RNA", at positions 399 to 691 of the family's 1533-position model. The record is from RNAcentral.
GCGUGGGUGAUGAAGGUCUUCGGAUCGUAAAGCCCUGUCAGUGGGGAAAAAUGCGUUAAGCAUCAGAUCCUUAACGUUGAUGGUACCCGCGAAGGAAGCAACGGCUAACUCCGUGCCAGCAGCCGCGGUAAUACGGGGGUUGCAAGCGUUGUUCGAAAUUACUGGGCGUAAAGGGCGCGUAGGUUGUGGCGUAAGUCUCGUGUGAAAUCCCCAAGCUUAACUUGGGACGGUCACGGGGUACUGUGUCACUAGAGUUCGAGAGAGGAAAGCGGAAUUCCCAGUGUAAUGGUGAAAUAUAU